Molecule: ribosomal RNA, 432 nt
Filed under: uncultured bacterium
Lineage: Bacteria
Description: partial 16S ribosomal RNA
Rfam family: Bacterial small subunit ribosomal RNA
Source: RNAcentral
ACGAACGCUGGCGGCAUGCCUAACACAUGCAAGUCGAACGAGACCUUCGGGUCUAGUGGCGCACGGGUGCGUAACGCGUGGGAACCUGCCCUUAGGUUCGGAAUAACUCCCCGAAAGGGGUGCCAAUUCCGGAUAAUGUCUUCGGACCAAAGAUUUAUCGCCUUUGGAUGGGCCCGCGUUGGAUUAGCUAGUUGGUAGGGUAAAAGCCUACCAAGGCGACGAUCCAUAGCUGGUCUGAGAGGAUGAUCAGCCACACUGGGACUGAGACACGGCCCAGACUCCUACGGGAGGCAGCAGUGGGGAAUAUUGGACAAUGGGCGAAAGCCUGAUCCAGCAAUGCCGCGUGAGUGAUGAAGGCCUUAGGGUUGUAAAGCUCUUUUACCCGGGAUGAUAAUGACAGUACCGGGAGAAUAAGCUCCGGCUAACUCCGUG